CACGUAGUUAGCCGGUGCUUCUUAUCUACCUACCGUCACCACCAAAGGUGGCUUCGUCGAUAGCGAAAGGAGUUUACAACCCGAAGGCCGUCAUCCCCCACGCGGCGUCGCUGCAUCAGGCUUGCGCCCAUUGUGCAAUAUUCCCCACUGCUGCCUCCCGUAGGAGUCUGGGCCGUAUCUCAGUCCCAAUGUGUCCGUACACCCUCUCAGGCCGGAUACCCGUCGCCGCCUUGGUAGGCCAUUACCCCACCAACAAGCUGAUAGGCCGCAGGCUCAUCCCACACCGCAAAAGCUUUCCACCACAACAUCCAAGAAGUGGUCCUAUAUGGUAUUAGACCCAGUUUCCCAAGCUUAUCCCAUAGUGCAGGGCAGAUCACCCACGUGUUACUCACCCGUUCGCCACUCGAGUACCUGUACAAGUACAGGCCUUUCCGUUCGACUUGCAUGUGUUAAGCACGCCGCCAGCGUUCAUCCUGAGCCAGGAUCAAACUCU
This 493-nucleotide ribosomal RNA is filed under the name uncultured Corynebacterium sp. Its description in RNAcentral is "partial 16S ribosomal RNA". The record is from RNAcentral. Lineage: Bacteria; Bacillati; Actinomycetota; Actinomycetes; Mycobacteriales; Corynebacteriaceae.